AGUCGAGCGAAUGGAUUAAGAGCUUGCUCUUAUGAAGUUAGCGGCGGACGGGUGAGUAACACGUGGGUAACCUGCCCAUAAGACUGGGAUAACUCCGGGAAACCGGGGCUAAUACCGGAUAACAUUUUGAACCGCAUGGUUCGAAAUUGAAAGGCGGCUUCGGCUGUCACUUAUGGAUGGACCCGCGUCGCAUUAGCUAGUUGGUGAGGUAACGGCUCACCAAGGCAACGAUGCGUAGCCGACCUGAGAGGGUGAUCGGCCACACUGGGACUGAGACACGGCCCAGACUCCUACGGGAGGCAGCAGUAGGGAAUCUUCCGCAAUGGACGAAAGUCUGACGGAGCAACGCCGCGUGAGUGAUGAAGGCUUUCGGGUCGUAAAACUCUGUUGUUAGGGAAGAACAAGUGCUAGUUGAAUAAGCUGGCACCUUGACGGUACCUAACCAGAAAGCCACGGCUAACUACGUGCCAGCAGCCGCGGUAAUACGUAGGUGGCAAGCGUUAUCCGGAAUUAUUGGGCGUAAAGCGCGCGCAGGUGGUUUCUUAAGUCUGAUGUGAAAGCCCACGGCUCAACCGUGGAGGGUCAUUGGAAACUGGGAGACUUGAGUGCAGAAGAGGAAAGUGGAAUUCCAUGUGUAGCGGUGAAAUGCGUAGAGAUAUGGAGGAACACCAGUGGCGAAGGCGACUUUCUGGUCUGUAACUGACACUGAGGCGCGAAAGCGUGGGGAGCAAACAGGAUUAGAUACCUGGUAGUCCACGCCGUAAACGAUGAGUGCUAAGUGUUAGAGGGUUUCCGCCCUUUAGUGCUGAAGUUAACGCAUUAAGCACUCCGCCUGGGGAGUACGGCCGCAAGGCUGAAACUCAAAGGAAUUGACGGGGGCCCGCACAAGCGGUGGAGCAUGUGGUUUAAUUCGAAGCAACGCGAAGAACCUUACCAGGUCUUGACAUCCUCUGAAAACCCUAGAGAUAGGGCUUCUCCUUCGGGAGCAGAGUGACAGGUGGUGCAUGGUUGUCGUCAGCUCGUGUCGUGAGAUGUUGGGUUAAGUCCCGCAACGAGCGCAACCCUUGAUCUUAGUUGCCAUCAUUAAGUUGGGCACUCUAAGGUGACUGCCGGUGACAAACCGGAGGAAGGUGGGGAUGACGUCAAAUCAUCAUGCCCCUUAUGACCUGGGCUACACACGUGCUACAAUGGACGGUACAAAGAGCUGCAAGACCGCGAGGUGGAGCUAAUCUCAUAAAACCGUUCUCAGUUCGGAUUGUAGGCUGCAACUCGCCUACAUGAAGCUGGAAUCGCUAGUAAUCGCGGAUCAGCAUGCCGCGGUAAAUACGUUCCCGGGCCUUGUACACACCGCCCGUCACACCACGAGAGUUUGUAACACCCGAAGUCGGUGGGGUAACCUUUUGGAGCCAGCCGCCUAAGGUG
Molecule: ribosomal RNA, 1422 nt
Filed under: Burkholderia cepacia
Lineage: Bacteria; Pseudomonadati; Pseudomonadota; Betaproteobacteria; Burkholderiales; Burkholderiaceae
Also listed under: 1 other name
Description: 16S ribosomal RNA
Rfam family: Bacterial small subunit ribosomal RNA
Source: RNAcentral